AUUGAACGCUGGCGGCAUGCCUUACACAUGCAAGUCGAACGGCAGCACGGGUGCUUGCACCUGGUGGCGAGUGGCGAACGGGCGAGUAAUACAUCGGAACAUGUCCUGUAGUGGGGGAUAGCCCGGCGAAAGCCGGAUUAAUACCGCAUACGAUCUACGGAUGAAAGCGGGGGACCUUCGGGCCUCGCGCUAUAGGGUUGGCCGAUGGCUGAUUAGCUAGUUGGUGGGGUAAAGGCCUACCAAGGCGACGAUCAGUAGCUGGUCUGAGAGGACGACCAGCCACACUGGGACUGAGACACGGCCCAGACUCCUACGGGAGGCAGCAGUGGGGAAUUUUGGACAAUGGGCGAAAGCCUGAUCCAGCAAUGCCGCGUGUGUGAAGAAGGCCUUCGGGUUGUAAAGCACUUUUGUCCGGAAAGAAAUCCUUGGCCCUAAUACGGUCGGGGGAUGACGGUACCGGAAGAAUAAGCACCGGCUAACUACGUG
RNAcentral lists this ribosomal RNA (486 nucleotides) under uncultured bacterium. Its description in RNAcentral is "partial 16S ribosomal RNA". It matches the Rfam family "Bacterial small subunit ribosomal RNA", at positions 30 to 507 of the family's 1533-position model. The record is from RNAcentral.